AGAGUUUGAUCCUGGCUCAGGAUUAACGCUGGCGGUGUGUAUAAUACAUGCAAGUCGACUGCAUUUAGUUGCAGGGCAGACGGGUGAGUAUCACGUUGGUUAUCUGCCCCGAAGUGAGGGAUAACCCUGAGAAAUCAGGGCUAAUACCGCAUAUGGCCCCCCACCUCUUGUCUAUAUUUCACGAUCAACAUUGGUCGCGACUUAUAUAUAUAGGAGGUGAGGGGUUAAAGCUUUAUGCGCUUCGGGAGGAGCCUGCGCAAUAUCAGCUUGUUGGUGAGGUAAUAGCUCACCAAGGCUAUGACGUUUAACUGGUCUGAGAGGAUGAUCAGUCACAAUGGAACUGAGACACGGUCCAUACUCCUACGGGAGGCAGCAGUAAAGAAUCUUUCGCAAUGGGGGAAACCCUGACGAAGCAACACCGCGUGGUGGACGAAGGCCCUCGGGUCGUAAACACCUUUUCUGGGGGAAGAAGUUCUGACGGUACACUAGGAAUAAGCACCGGCUAAAUACGUGCCAGCAGCCGCGGUAAUACGUAUGGUGCAAGCGUUAUCCGGAAUUAUUGGGCGUAAAGCGUCCGCAGGCGGUUUACUAAGUCUGAUGUAAAAGCCCCAGAGCUCAACUCUGGAAUCGUAUCGGAAACUGGUAAACUAGAGUCACACAGAGGCAAGUGGAAUUCUGUAAGUAGGGGUAAAAUCCGUAGAUCUACAGAGGAACACCAAAAGCGAAGGCAGCUUGCUGGGUGUGUACUGACGCUCAUGGACGAAAGCGUGGGGAGCAAAGGGGAUUAGAUACCCCCGUAGUCCACGCCGUAAACGAUGGAUACUCGGUGUAGGAGGAUUCAACCCCUUCUGUGCCUGAGCUAACGCGUUAAGUAUCCCGCCUGAGUAGUACGGUCGCAAGAUUAAAACUCAAAGGAAUAGACGGGGACCCACACAAGCGGUGGAGCAUGUGGUUUAAUUCGACAAUAAGCGGAGAACCUUACCAGGACUUGACAUCUCGAGAACUCUGUAGAAAUACGGAGGUGCCGUAAGGAACUCGAUGACAGGUGUUGCAUGGUUGUCGUCAGCUCGUGCCUUGAGGUGUUCUGUUAAGUCAGUAAACGAGCGCAACCCUUGCCCUAUGUUGCAUAUUUCAUAGGGGACUGCCGAUUCCAAAUCGGAGGAAGGUAAGGAUGACGUCAAAUCAGCAUGGCCCUUAUGUCCUGGGCUACACACGUGCUACAAUGGUCGAUACAAAGGGUCGCCAAAUCGUAAGAUGGAGCCAAUCCCAUAAAAUCGAUCUAAGUUCGGAUUGAGGGCUGCAACUCGCCCUCAUGAAGUUGGAAUCGCUAGUAAUCGUGAAUCAGCUACGUCACGGUGAAUGUGUUCCUGGGUCUUGUACUCACCGCCCGUCAAGUCAUGGAAGCUGGGGGCACUCGAAGUACCACAANCAAAGUGGUCCUAAGGUGAAANCCAGUGACUGGGACUAAGUCGUAANCAAGGUAACC
This 1486-nucleotide ribosomal RNA is filed under the name uncultured bacterium. Its description in RNAcentral is "bacterial SSU rRNA". It matches the Rfam family "Bacterial small subunit ribosomal RNA". The record is from RNAcentral.